UACGUAGGGAGCAAGCGUUGUCCGGAAUCAUUGGGCGUAAAGCGCGCGUAGGCGGCCUCAUAAGCCCGUUGUGAAAGUCAAAGGCUCAACCUUUGAAAGCCGAUGGAUACUGUGGGGCUAGAGUCCGGAAGAGGCGAGUGGAAUUCCUGGUGUAGCGGUGGAAUGCGCAGAUAUCAGGAGGAACACCAAUAGCGAAGGCAGCUCGCUGGGACGGUACUGACGCUAAGGCGCGAAAGCGUGGGGAGCGAACAGG
This 253-nucleotide ribosomal RNA is filed under the name uncultured bacterium. RNAcentral's name for it is "partial 16S ribosomal RNA". It matches the Rfam family "Bacterial small subunit ribosomal RNA", at positions 524 to 776 of the family's 1533-position model. The record is from RNAcentral.